GCCCGUUUAGCUCAGUAGGUAGAGCGUUCGUCUCAUAAUGAAUCAUGCAAUAUGAAGGGAAAGCGAAAGGCCGUCAGUUCGAUCCUGACAGUGGGCA
RNAcentral lists this transfer RNA (97 nucleotides) under Fragilariopsis cylindrus CCMP1102. It matches the Rfam family "tRNA". Rfam says of the family: Transfer RNA (tRNA) molecules are approximately 80 nucleotides in length. Their secondary structure includes four short double-helical elements and three loops (D, anti-codon, and T loops). Further hydrogen bonds mediate the characteristic L-shaped molecular structure. tRNAs have two regions of fundamental functional importance: the anti-codon, which is responsible for specific mRNA codon recognition, and the 3' end, to which the tRNAs corresponding amino acid is attached (by aminoacyl-tRNA synthetases). tRNAs cope with the degeneracy of the genetic code in two manners: having more than one tRNA (with a specific anti-codon) for a particular amino acid; and 'wobble' base-pairing, i.e. permitting non-standard base-pairing at the 3rd anti-codon position. Lineage: Eukaryota; Bacillariophyta; Bacillariophyceae; Bacillariales; Bacillariaceae. The record is from Rfam by way of RNAcentral.